RNAcentral lists this ribosomal RNA (489 nucleotides) under uncultured bacterium. Its description in RNAcentral is "bacterial SSU rRNA". It matches the Rfam family "Bacterial small subunit ribosomal RNA", at positions 19 to 518 of the family's 1533-position model. The record is from RNAcentral.
CUGGCUCAGGAUGAACGCUGGCGGCGUGCCUAACACAUGCAAGUCGAACGAGCGAGAGAUGAAACCUAGUGAUUCUCGAGCGAGUGGCGGACGGGUGAGUAACGCGUGGGUAACCUGCCUUACAGAGGGGGAUAACAGUUUGAAAAGACUGCUAAUACCGCAUAAGCACACAGUACCGCAUGGUACAGGGUGAAAAGAUUUAUCACUGUAAGAUGGACCCGCGUCUGAUUAGCCAGUUGGCAGGGUAACGGCCUACCAAAGCGACGAUCAGUAGCCGACCUGAGAGGGUGAUCGGCCACAUUGGGACUGAGACACGGCCCAAACUCCUACGGGAGGCAGCAGUGGGGGAUAUUGCACAAUGGAGGAAACUCUGAUGCAGCCGACGCCGCGUGAGUGAAGAAGUAUUUCGGUAUGUAAAGCUCUAUCAGCAGGGAAGAUAAUGACAGUACCUGACCAAGAAGCCCCGGCUAACUACGUGCCAGCAGCCGC